CUAUACAUGACUCUGCGCAUAUCAAUAAGCGGAGGAAAAAGAAACUAACAAGGAUUCCCUUAGUAACGGCGAGUGAAGCGGGAAGAGCUCAAAUUUGAAAUCUUCAAGGUUUUACCUUGACGAAUUGUAGUUUAAAGAAGUGUUUUCUGUUGAAGUUUUGGUAAAAGUUCUUUGGAAUAGGACAUCAUAGAGGGUGAGGAUCCCGUAUUUGACCGUUACUUUCCAGCUGUGUGAUACACUUUCAAAGAGUCGGAUUGUUUGGGAAUGCAGUCCAAAAUGGGUGGUAAAUUUCAUCUAAAGCUAAAUAUUGGCGAGAGACCGAUAGCGAACAAGUACCGUGAGGGAAAGAUGAAAAGAACUUUGAAAAGAGAGUUAAACAGUACGUGAAAUUGUCAAAAGGGAAGCGUUUGACACCAGUGUUGUUUUUCCGAAAAUCAAUUACGAAUGUUUUAUUUUUGAGGAGUUAUGACUUCAUCGGCUUGCUCCUUUCUUUAUGAAACUUUCUUAAUGCACUUUUCGGUUAACAAGUCAACAUCAAUUUCUUUUGUUGUAAAAGGGUAUGAGGAAGGUGGCUUUCUUUUCGGAGAAAGUGUUUAUAGCCUUGUGCCUCUGCAAUCGGAGAGAUUGAGGUCUGCAGCGUAGAUCCUUCGGGGUUAGAUACGUUUGUGCUAAGUUAUAGCUUUUCAUAGACAACUUGUUGACUAUGUUUAGUCUUGUAGCUUACUCGCUUACGCUAUUUUACCUACGCUUAGGAUGUUGAAGAUAUGCGCGACACGGCCCUAUACAUGACUCUGCGCAUAUCAAUAAGCGGAGGAAAAGCCAACUACCUACGCUUAGGAUGUUGACACACGCGCGUGCUCGACUCUAUACAUGACUCUGUGCAUAUCAAUAAGCGGAGGAAAAGGCUGCGGAACUGAACGACCGCUACCUACGCUUAGGAUGUUGAAGAUAUGCGCGACACG
RNAcentral lists this ribosomal RNA (962 nucleotides) under uncultured Neocallimastigales. Its description in RNAcentral is "partial large subunit ribosomal RNA". It matches the Rfam family "Eukaryotic large subunit ribosomal RNA", at positions 22 to 651 of the family's 3401-position model. Lineage: Eukaryota; Fungi; Neocallimastigomycota; Neocallimastigomycetes; Neocallimastigales. The record is from RNAcentral.